GGUCAGUCACAAAAUUCAUGCCCCCUUCUUCUUGGGUAUGGUGGUGUGUAGUAGGAAUGGAAGUGAUAGGUGCCAUUUCCAGGCCUGGUGCAUUGAUUCCCCAAUGCCUUUCACCAUGCCCUUUCUCCUGGAUCUGGCUGCAUACAGGUGCAGAUAGACCUUAGAGGAUAGUAGAACAACAGGAUGGAAGCAUCUGGAGUCCCUGAAUAACAGCUUGGAGGAGCAGCAUCUCCAGAGAACUGAUACCUGCUCAGGACUGUCGGGGAAAAGCUUCUACUGUACUGAACCAUGAUUCUAUUUUGGUAUAUUUGAUAUUUGCUGCAGCAUCUUAGUUUAUUCUAAAGAAUACAAUGGAAAAGGACAUGGCAGGAAAAAGGACCCAUUUGCAGAAGAGGGAUACAAAAAUACAAUUGAAAUUUGCAGAGUUAAGAUCACAUCUGGAUCACAGGAUUUCCUUCGGCACACCACACAUUUAUAAGAUAUUGACAAAUGGAAUGUACCCAGGUGUUUCCUGGUAUGGUAAAGCAUCUGGAAAUGACUGAAAGAACUGAGUACAUUUAGCAUGAAUUAAGUAGUGACGUUGGAGUUGUCAUCAAAUAAUUGAAGAAAAGACAGAUGGAAGAAGGAUAAUACGUAUGCUGUUCCAAAUGCCUGAAUUUAGGUAGGACCAGUAAUAUAAUUUAGGCUCAAUAUAAGGAAGCUUUUUAUGUAAAGUUUCAUAUUAUCCAAAGAUAGAAUUUCCUUUUGAGAUGACUUUGUCAUUGGAUGCGUUCAAGAAGGCAAAUUACAAUCUCACUGGGUCUAUUGUAGAAAGGAUUAUUGCAAUCUUUGGAAGAUCAAACUAGAUGAUUUCUGAGUUUCCUUCAAUGCUAUUAUUGUUGCUAUAAUAAGAGUUCCGUAUGUGAGCUUUGCGGCCAGAAAUCCUAAGCGUUUAAAGGUCUGUGUCUAUUCGGAGGAGCAGGACAUGAUAUAGAUAACCCUUUGCAAAGGGGCUAUAACUUACA
RNAcentral lists this long non-coding RNA (1004 nucleotides) under Homo sapiens (human). Its description in RNAcentral is "HSALNT0142633". Lineage: Eukaryota; Metazoa; Chordata; Mammalia; Primates; Hominidae. The record is from RNAcentral.